RNAcentral lists this ribosomal RNA (463 nucleotides) under uncultured bacterium. RNAcentral describes it as "bacterial SSU rRNA". It matches the Rfam family "Bacterial small subunit ribosomal RNA", at positions 29 to 483 of the family's 1533-position model. The record is from RNAcentral.
AACGAACGCUGGCGGCGCGCCUAAUACAUGCAAGUCGAGCGAGAAGACGUAGCAAUACGUUUGUAAAGCGGCGAACGGGUGAGGAAUACAUGGGUAACCUACCCUCGAGUGGGGAAUAACUAGCCGAAAGGUUAGCUAAUACCGCGUACGCUCCUUGGACUUCGGUUCAGGGAGGAAAGCGAUACCGUGGGUAUCGCGCUCUUGGAUGGGCUCAUGUCCUAUCAGCUUGUUGGUGAGGAACGGCUCACCAAGGCUUCGACGGGUAGCUGGUCUGAGAGGACGAUCAGCCACACUGGCACUGCGACACGGGCCAGACUCCUACGGGAGGCAGCAGUAAGGAAUAUUGCGCAAUGGGCGAAAGCCUGACGCAGCGACGCCGCGUGGGGGAGUGAAGGUCUUCGGAUUGUAAACCCCUUUACCGGGUGGGAAGAUGGAACGAGCAAUCGUUCGGACGGUACCUCCA